AGUCAGACAGUCUUGGAUGUCAGCAAAUUUCAUCACAAUGAAGGCGCUUUAAACUGAAAGAAUUGAACAAGGUCAGGUUGCAGCAACUCCACCGACUGCAUGACCUGUCAUAGAUGAAUUCUCUCACUGUCCUUCUUAUUUUGUCUCUGAGUUCAGCAUCUACAGGCUUAAAAGAGAUAAAUGUGCAGGCAGACAGGAACGCCCAGCUGGAGUGUCAGGGUCCUAAAAAAGGCAAAAUUGUCCCGUUAGAGUGGAAAAGACUCGAUCUGCUGUCGGAUGGAUAUGUCUUCUUCUACCGAGAUGGUCAUCUGCAUAAAACCUUCCAGCAUCCUAUUUUUAGAGAUGGAGUGGAACUGAGAGAUCCACAGAUGAAAAAUGGAGACAUGGCCAUCAUUUUGUACAACACCACCAUUAAAGACUCUGGGACAUAUGAGUGCCGUAUCAUCACACAAAACACAAGAGACAGUAGCAGCCCUACCUUUGAGAUCAAGCAUGAAAUCAGGCUGACAGUUGUUCCUCCAGGU
This is a long non-coding RNA of Oreochromis aureus, 524 nucleotides long. The record is from Ensembl. NCBI's taxonomy places the organism in Eukaryota, Metazoa, Chordata, Actinopteri, Cichliformes, Cichlidae.